RNAcentral lists this ribosomal RNA (468 nucleotides) under uncultured bacterium. RNAcentral's name for it is "partial 16S ribosomal RNA". It matches the Rfam family "Bacterial small subunit ribosomal RNA", at positions 28 to 507 of the family's 1533-position model. The record is from RNAcentral.
GACGAACGCUGGCGGCGUGCUUAACACAUGCAAGUCGAACGGAAAGGCCCUGCUUUUGUGGGGUGCUCGAGUGGCGAACGGGUGAGUAACACGUGAGUAACCUGCCCUUGACUUUGGGAUAACUUCAGGAAACUGGGGCUAAUACCGGAUAGGAGCUCCUGCUGCAUGGUGGGGGUUGGAAAGUUUCGGCGGUUGGGGAUGGACUCGCGGCUUAUCAGCUUGUUGGUGGGGUAGUGGCUUACCAAGGCUUUGACGGGUAGCCGGCCUGAGAGGGUGACCGGCGACAUUGGGACUGAGGUACGGCCCAGACUCCUACGGGAGGCAGCAGUGGGGAAUAUUGCACAAUGGGCGGAAGCCUGAUGCAGCAACGCCGCGUGCGGGAUGACGGCCUUCGGGUUGUAAACCGCUUUCGCCUGUUACGAAGCGUGAGUGACGGUAAUGGGUAAAGAAGCACCGGCUAACUACGUG